UACGAGGGGUGCAAGCGUUGCUCGGAAUUAUUGGGCGUAAAGGGUAGGUAGGUGGUCUCGUUUGUCUGGGGUGAAAGCCUUGAGCUUAACUCAAGAAGUGCCUUAGAAACGGCGAGACUGGAGUCUUGGAGAGGGUCGUGGAAUUCCCGGUGUAGCGGUGAAAUGCGCAGAUAUCAGGAGGAACACCGAUGGCGAAGGCAGGUCUCUGGGCCAUUACUGACACUGAGAAGCGAAAGCAUGGGGAGCGAACAGGAUUAGAA
Molecule: ribosomal RNA, 260 nt
Filed under: uncultured bacterium
Lineage: Bacteria
Description: partial 16S ribosomal RNA
Rfam family: Bacterial small subunit ribosomal RNA
Source: RNAcentral